Molecule: ribosomal RNA, 253 nt
Filed under: uncultured bacterium
Lineage: Bacteria
Description: partial 16S ribosomal RNA
Rfam family: Bacterial small subunit ribosomal RNA
Source: RNAcentral
UACGUAGGGUGCAAGCGUUGUCCGGAAUUAUUGGGCGUAAAGAGCUCGUAGGCGGUCUGUCGCGUCGAAUGUGAAAACCCGGGGCUCAACCCCGGGCCUGCAUUCGAUACGGGCAGACUAGAGUUCGGUAGGGGAGUCUGGAAUUCCUGGUGUAGCGGUGAAAUGCGCAGAUAUCAGGAGGAACACCGGUGGCGAAGGCGGGACUCUGGGCCGAUAUUGACGCUGAGGAGCGAAAGCGUGGGUAGCGAACAGG